UACGUAGGCGGCCAUAUAAGUCAGAAGUGAAAGGCUACGGCUUAACCGUAGUAAGCUUUUGAAACUGUAUGGCUUGAGUGCAGGAGAGGAAAGCAGAAUUCCUAGUGUAGCGGUGAAAUGCGUAGAUAUUAGGAAGAACACCAGUAGCGAAGGCGGCUUUCUGGACUGAAACUGACGCUGAGGUACGAAAGCGUGGGGAGCGAACAGGAUUAGAUACCCUGGUAGUCC
RNAcentral lists this ribosomal RNA (228 nucleotides) under uncultured bacterium. Its description in RNAcentral is "partial 16S ribosomal RNA". It matches the Rfam family "Bacterial small subunit ribosomal RNA", at positions 568 to 796 of the family's 1533-position model. The record is from RNAcentral.